This 376-nucleotide ribosomal RNA is filed under the name uncultured bacterium. RNAcentral's name for it is "bacterial SSU rRNA". It matches the Rfam family "Bacterial small subunit ribosomal RNA", at positions 524 to 898 of the family's 1533-position model. The record is from RNAcentral.
UACGAAGGGUGCAAGCGUUACUCGGAAUUACUGGGCGUAAAGCGUGCGUAGGUGGUUCGUUAAGUCUGAUGUGAAAGCCCUGGGCUCAACCUGGGAAUUGCAUUGGAUACUGGCGGGCUGGAGUGCGGUAGAGGAUGGCGGAAUUCCCGGUGUAGCAGUGAAAUGCGUAGAGAUCGGGAGGAACAUCCGUGGCGAAGGCGGCCAUCUGGACCAGCACUGACACUGAGGCACGAAAGCGUGGGGAGCAAACAGGAUUAGAUACCCUGGUAGUCCACGCCCUAAACGAUGCGAACUGGAUGUUGGGAGCAAUCAGGCUCGCAGUAUCGAAGCUAACGCGUUAAGUUCGCCGCCUGGGGAGUACGGUCGCAAGACUGAA